RNAcentral lists this ribosomal RNA (817 nucleotides) under uncultured Alphaproteobacteria bacterium. RNAcentral's name for it is "bacterial SSU rRNA". It matches the Rfam family "Bacterial small subunit ribosomal RNA", at positions 60 to 917 of the family's 1533-position model. The record is from RNAcentral. Lineage: Bacteria; Pseudomonadati; Pseudomonadota; Alphaproteobacteria.
AGUCGGACGAAAGGUUCCUUCGGGAACUGGAGAGUGGCGCACGGGUGAGUAACGCGUGGGGACCUACCUCUUAGUGGGGGAUAACGGUUGGAAACGACCGCUAAUACCGCAUACGCCCUUCGGGGGAAAGAUUUAUCGCUAAGAGAUGGACCCGCGUUGGAUUAGAUAGUUGGUGAGGUAACGGCUCACCAAGUCGGCGAUCCAUAGCUGGUUUGAGAGGAUGAUCAGCCACACUGGGACUGAGACACGGCCCAGACUCCUACGGGAGGCAGCAGUGGGGAAUAUUGGACAAUGGGGGCAACCCUGAUCCAGCCAUGCCGCGUGAGUGAAGAAGGCCUUCGGGUUGUAAAGCUCUUUCAGAUGCGAAGAUGAUGACGGUAACAUCAGAAGAAGCCCCGGCUAAUUUCGUGCCAGCAGCCGCGGUAAUACGAAAGGGGCUAGCGUUGUUCGGAUUUACUGGGCGUAAAGGGCACGCAGGCGGUCUUGCCAGUCAGGGGUGAAAGCCCGGGGCUCAACCCCGGAACUGCCUCUGAUACUGCAAGACUAGAGACUAGGAGAGGGUGGUGGAAUUCCCAGUGUAGAGGUGAAAUUCGUAGAUAUUGGGAGGAACACCAGAGGCGAAGGCGGCCACCUGGACUAGAUCUGACGCUCAGGUGCGAAAGCGUGGGGAGCAAACAGGAUUAAAUACCCUGGUAGUCCACGCCGUAAACGAUGAGUGCUAGUUGUCGGGAUUUCGAUUUCGGUGACGCAGCUAACGCAUUAAGCACUCCCCCUGGGGAGACCGGCCGCAGAAUAAAACUCCAAAGAAUUUGACGGG